GAUGAAGAACGCAGCAAAAUGCGAUAAGUAAUGUGAAUUGCAGAAUUCAGUGAAUCAUCGAAUCUUUGAACGCACAUUGCGCCCGCCAGUAUUCUGGCGGGCAUGCCUGUUCGAGCGUCAUUUCAACCCUCAAGCCCUCGGGUUUGGUGUUGGGGAUCGGCGAGCCUUUCUGGCAAGCCGGCCCCGAAAUCUAGUGGCGGUCUCGCUGCAGCCUCCAUUGCGUAGUAGUAAAACCCUCGCAACUGGAACGCGGCGCGGCCAAGCCGUUAAACCCCCAACUUCUGAAUGUUGACCUCGGAUCAGGUAGGAUUACCCGCUGAACUUAAGCAUAUCAAUAAGCGGAGGA
This 346-nucleotide unclassified non-coding RNA is filed under the name soil metagenome. RNAcentral's name for it is "partial contains 5.8S ribosomal RNA, internal transcribed spacer 2, and large subunit ribosomal RNA". The stretch from base 1 to 120 matches the Rfam family "5.8S ribosomal RNA", at positions 35 to 154 of the family's 154-position model. The record is from RNAcentral.